This 239-nucleotide ribosomal RNA is filed under the name uncultured bacterium. Its description in RNAcentral is "partial 16S ribosomal RNA". It matches the Rfam family "Bacterial small subunit ribosomal RNA", at positions 15 to 244 of the family's 1533-position model. The record is from RNAcentral.
GAUCCUGGCUCAGGAUGAACGCUAGCGGCAGGCUUAACACAUGCAAGUCGAGGGGCAGCAUAAUGGAUAGCAAUAUCUAUGGUGGCGACCGGCGCACGGGUGCGUAACGCGUAUGCAACCUACCUUUAACAGGGGGGAUAACACUGAGAAAUUGGUACUAAUACCCCAUAAUAUCAUAGAAGGCAUCUUUUAUGGUUGAAAAUUCCGAUGGUUAGUAGAUGGGCGAUGCGUUGUAUUAG